RNAcentral lists this ribosomal RNA (505 nucleotides) under uncultured Rikenellaceae bacterium. RNAcentral describes it as "bacterial SSU rRNA". It matches the Rfam family "Bacterial small subunit ribosomal RNA", at positions 903 to 1382 of the family's 1533-position model. The record is from RNAcentral. Lineage: Bacteria; Pseudomonadati; Bacteroidota; Bacteroidia; Bacteroidales; Rikenellaceae.
CGCCUUGCCAGCCCGCUACAGAAACUCAAAGGCAUUGACGGGGCCCGCACAAGCGGAGGAACAUGUGGUUUAAUUCGAUGAUACGCGAGGAACCUUACCUGGGCUAGAACGCAUUCGGAAUCAGGCCGAAAGGCCUGCGCCAGCGAUGGCCGCUUGCGAGGUGCUGCAUGGUUGUCGUCAGCUCGUGCCGUGAGGUGUCGGGUUAAGUCCCAUAACGAGCGCAACCCCUACUGCUAGUUGCCAGCGGGUCAUGCCGGGGACUCUAGCGGAACUGCCAGCGUAAGCUGCGAGGAAGGUGGGGAUGACGUCAAAUCAGCACGGCCCUUACGUCCAGGGCUACACACGUGUUACAAUGGCCGGUACAGAGGGCAGCCACCCCGCGAGGGGGCGCGAAUCCCGAAAGCCGGUCCCAGUUCGGAUCGGAGUCUGCAACCCGACUCCGUGAAGCUGGAUUCGCUAGUAAUCGCGCAUCAGCCACGGCGCGGUGAAUACGUUCCCGGGCCUU